RNAcentral lists this ribosomal RNA (1935 nucleotides) under Triticum aestivum (bread wheat). Its description in RNAcentral is "partial small subunit ribosomal RNA". The record is from RNAcentral. Lineage: Eukaryota; Viridiplantae; Streptophyta; Magnoliopsida; Poales; Poaceae.
AUGCCCCAACCGGCGCUGCCACCGUCGGCGGCGGCCACCGCUGACCCCGAGCCAUCCGGGACCCGGGCAAGGGAGAUGGACGACGAGGACCUCGUGGAGGAGCUCCUCGCCACCGUCAAUUCGGCCCGCGCUUACUCGGAAUUCCGCCGCACGCAGCGAAAGGAAUGCCACAACCUUCUUCGCUGGCUGCAGCUCAUCCUUCCGCUGCUCGAGGAGCUCCGCGAUUCCGCGCCCCGGCUCACCGAUGACGCCUACCGCCGCCUCACCCUCCUCGGGCGGGCCUUGUCCGCCGCGCGCCGCCUCCUCCGAUCCUGCAACGACGGCAGCAAAAUCUUUCUGGCGCUGGAGAGCGAGGCUGUGCUGGGGAGGUUCCGCGCUGUGUACGAGAAGAUGAACUCUGCGCUGGAUGGAAUGCCCUACGCGGAGCUCGCCAUUUCCGAUGAAGUCACCGAGCAGGUGGAGCUGAUGAACGCUCAGCUGAUGAGAUGCAAGAAGAGAACGGACACGCAAGACAUAGAGUUGUCAAUGGAUCUCAUGGUGAUACUCCAGAACAACAAGGACGAGGAGAGGAAUGCGGACGGGGCAAUACUGGAUAGGCUGGCCAGCAAGCUGGAGCUGCAGAUGCUGCCGGAUCUGAGGGCGGAGACGGUGGCCAUAAAGAAGCUGAUCAACGAGCGGAACGGGCAGCAUGCGGACAGCACAAAGCAGAUCAUCGAGCUCCUCCACAAGUUCAAGGCGAUCGCUGGCAUUGACGAGAAAAAUGUCCUCGGUAGCGAGGUCUUCGUGACCAAGUCCCUCGACAAGUGCCCCUCGUUGAUGAUCCCGGACGACUUCCUCUGCCCUAUCACGUUGGAGAUCAUGACGGAUCCUGUCAUUGUCGCCAGUGGACAGACGUACGAGAGGAGAAGCAUCCAGAAGUGGCUGGACAGUGGGGAGAGGACAUGCCCGAAGAUGCGGCAGCCAUUGGCGCACCUUUCGCUGGCGCCCAACUACGCGCUCAAGAACCUGAUCCUGCAGUGGUGCGACAAGCACAAGGUGGAGCUGCAGAGGAGGGAGCCGGAGCCCGUGGCCGAGCAGGACGGGCACCCGAGAGAGGACAUCCCGUCGCUGGUGGAAGCGCUGUCGUCGAUCCACCCUGACGUGCAGCGAAAAGCGGCCAAGAAGGUCCGGAUGCUCUCCAAGGAGUCCCCGGAGAACAGGGCUCUCAUUGUUGGCAAUGGCGGCAUCCCCGCCCUGAUCGGCCUGCUGGCCUACCCGGACAAGAAGGUGCAGGAGAACACGGUGACCUCGCUGCUGAACCUGUCCAUUGACCAUGGCAACAAGCUUCUCAUUACCAAGGGGGGCGCCAUCCCGCUCAUCAUCGAGAUCCUCCGGAACGGCAGCGCGGAGGGGCAGGAGAACUCGGCGGCGACGCUCUUCAGCCUGUCCAUGCUCGACGAGAACAAGGCCACGAUCGGGACCCUUGGCGGCAUCGCGCCGCUGGUGGAGCUCCUGACCAACGGCACCGUCCGGGGCAAGAAGGACGCCACCACGGCUAUCUUCAACCUCAUCCUCAACCAGCAGAACAAGGUCAGGGCCACCCAGGCCGGCAUCGUCCCAGCGCUAAUGAAGGUCAUCGACGACAGGAGCCUUGGAAUGGUCGACGAGGCGCUCUCCAUCUUUCUGCUGCUGUCGUCGCAUCCAACCUGUCUUGGAGAGAUCGGGACAACGCCAUUCGUGGAGAAGCUCGUGCAGCUUAUCAAGGAAGGCACGCCCAAGAACAAGGAGUGCGCGCUGUCCGUCCUGCUGGAGCUGGGAUCCAAGAAGCAGACGCUCCUGGUGCACGCGCUCAGGUUCGGCCUCCACGAGCACCUCUCACAGAUCGCUAAGACUGGCACCAGUAGAGCGCAGAGGAAGGCCAACUCUCUCAUUCAGAUAGCAAAAAAGUGCUACUGA